GUGUGGAGUACGGCCCACCANGNCGACGACGGGUAGCUGGUCUGAGAGGACUACCAGCCACACUGGAACUGAGAUACGGUCCAGACUCCUACGGGAGGCAGCAGUGGGGAAUAUUGCACAAUGGGCGAAAGCCUGAUGCAGCGACGCCGCGUGAGGGAUGAAGGCCUUCGGGUCGUAAACCUCUUUCGGCAGGGACGAAGCGAUCAGUGACGGUACCUGCAGAAGAAGCCCCGGCUAACUACGUGCCAGCAGCCGCGGUAAGACGUAGGGGGCGAGCGUUGUCCGGAUUCAUUGGGCGUAAAGCGCGCGUAGGCGGCUGCGCAAGUCGGUUGUGAAAUUCCGGGGCUCAACCCCGGAACUGCGUCCGAUACUGCGUGGCUAGAGGUAGGUAGGGGAGAUCGGAAUUCCUGGUGUAGCGGUGAAAUGCGCAGAUAUCAGGAGGAACACCGGUGGCGAAGGCGGAUCUCUGGGCCUUACCUGACGCUCAGGCGCGAAAGCUAGGGGAGCGAACAGGAUUANAUACCCUGGUAGUCCUAGCCGUAAACGUUGGGUGCUAGGUGUGG
RNAcentral lists this ribosomal RNA (563 nucleotides) under uncultured Actinomycetes bacterium. RNAcentral's name for it is "bacterial SSU rRNA". It matches the Rfam family "Bacterial small subunit ribosomal RNA", at positions 252 to 825 of the family's 1533-position model. The record is from RNAcentral. Lineage: Bacteria; Bacillati; Actinomycetota; Actinomycetes.